RNAcentral lists this long non-coding RNA (1715 nucleotides) under Homo sapiens (human). RNAcentral describes it as "non-protein coding lnc-KIF26A-1:3". The record is from RNAcentral. Lineage: Eukaryota; Metazoa; Chordata; Mammalia; Primates; Hominidae.
CUGGCAUCCUUGCUGUCCUCACCCCGACACAGGUGUGCCUGGGCCUUGCACAACAAGGUGACGCCAUGCGAGCGUGGCAGGGCCGGGGAAGCCUUUGCUCCUCACCCUGGUGAGGCCCAUGAGGGGCUGCAGGUGGAGGGAGGGUGGCACCGGGCCCCAGAGCCAGGAGCCCCUGCUGUCCCCGGAUGGCCGAGACCCUUGGAGGGCCUUGGGAGAGGCGGUGGGGCAUCUGGACAAAUGCCUGGUGCAGGUGAGAAGGGGUGGGACUACCUCCGGCAUCCCUGGGCUGAGCCCACCUGGUCUCCCCGGUUGCUCCUGCACACGGCAGUGCCCACCUGCUUCCCUCAGCUCCUGAGGGGCUGGGCAGAGCCUGUUGCUCACGCCACCCCACUCAGUGCUGCUCCGGGUUGUGAAAGCUGCAGGUGGCUCACGUUAGCCCACAUGGCAGCACCCUCCCAGAGCAGGUGCCAACCUGCCAGUGUAGACACACCGACUGAUGCCGGGGGUGAGUGUCCUGUAGUGUAGAAACGCCCACUCAUCCUGCUUGUCCCGCAGAGAGCAUUUGUCAAGCUGGCCUUUCUCCAACUGGGUCACUGAUGGAGUUCGGCAGAGACGGCUUGGGGGCCACGGGCUGGGCAGAUGGGGAGAGCUCCUCACAAGGCUGGGCAGCCAGACCCCCAUUGUCAGUCCCCUCCAAACCCUCGUGGGAUGUAGGGCCCUACCACAGGGAGCCCCGGGACUGGGCCAGUGUCUCAGGAGGCUGUGAAGAGUCAUAGGCUUGAGUCUGGGAGCUUUCUCGGGGGCCGUUUUGUGCCCCUUGGGGAGAGGCCAGAGGGGCCCUGGGUAAGGGGACUCCUCUAGAAUCACCCAGAAGUGGCAGGAGGUGCAGGGCCACUGCUCGGGGCUCCCUGGGCUCUGAGCUGGGCAGUGACCUGGCCCCAAGGCCUCUGGCUCUCUGGCGUGCAGUGGGAACAGCCGGGACAGACAGGCUUGGAGCGUUCGUGUCCUGCGCCGCGUUGGUGUGUUUCGUCCCCACUGUGCCUGUAGGAGGGCACCGGGUCCCCGUCUAUCCUACUUCAUGGCUGAGGAAGCUAAGGCACAGAGUGGCCCCGUCCUGCGCCCAGGGCUCUGCGUUGGCACAGGGCAGAGCUGGGCUGUGAAUCAGGGCCGCCUUGUCUCUUGCUGUGGUGUGAGGCUGUGGGAGACUCAGGAAUGAGGCACAGCCAGGUGCCCAGUGCCCGUGGGACCCGCCUCCCCACAGUGGGGUGGCGCCGCUCACACCUGGUAAUUUCACGCUGGGGGAGGCCUUGGUUCCUAUAGCCCAUCUCGAAUCACCUGGAUCCCAGGGCUAUCUCUGGGGAACAUCUCCUCUCCAUCACGACUACUGUCUUUUUCACCAGCAUUUUCUAUCCUAAAAUCAGACUCCUCAGCUGAGGGCCCUCCAGGACCGCCCUUCCCCAGCUGGAGUUCCCUUGGAUGCUGGACACGGGAGCCACCUGGGCGAGGGGAGCCCAUCCAAGUGGCUGUGCGUCGGGAAGAGUCUGCCCAGGACUGGGCUAGACCAGAACUUAGAAUUAAGGAGUGGUGGCCAGGCUUGGUGGCUCACACCUGCAAUCCCAGCACUUUGGGAGGCCGAGGCGGGUGGAUAGCUUGAGCCUAGGAGUUUGAGAACAGCCAACAUGGCGAAACUCUGUCUCUUAAAAAAUAAAUAAAAA